This is a long non-coding RNA of Dreissena polymorpha, 481 nucleotides long. RefSeq lists it as uncharacterized. NCBI's taxonomy places the organism in Eukaryota, Metazoa, Mollusca, Bivalvia, Myida, Dreissenidae. The transcript is spliced from 2 exons. The record is from RefSeq and is a predicted model, not a curated record.
GUUUUAUUAUUUCACUCUUGUGCAAAUAUGAAUGAUACAUCUAUAAAGGCAAAAAACAAAGACAACAACAGUUCAUAUAUUGCAAAGAAAUACAAUAGACUUAGUAGUGUUAGUAGGCUCUCCAGUCACUGAGCUUUUACAGGUCAAGGUCCUGCACAUAUACAGGUCAAGAGGUCAACGGGUACGCCGUCAAAAAUUGUGCCCAGCUCAGCACUCUGUCAAAUUAUGGACCUUAAGAGUUCAUAAAGAUCAAGAUCCACAUGAAGUAUAAAGUUGAAACAUGUCUAAAGGAACACUUUAAAGUAAUAUGAGUAAGGUAAUCACACAAUACAUCAGAAACACAGAAAUCUGCUUAUCAGUAACAGAAAUGAUAUUUUCUUGUACUAUAUGCAGGGAUUAAAAUUGAAACAGAAUCAUGCUUUUUGAUGCAAGCAUUUUGCAUUUUUUUCACUUUUGACUCAGCCAAAUUAUCUGCAUAACA